This 200-nucleotide unclassified non-coding RNA is filed under the name Naucoria bohemica. RNAcentral's name for it is "partial internal transcribed spacer 2". RNAcentral also lists the same sequence under 1 other name. The record is from RNAcentral. Lineage: Eukaryota; Fungi; Basidiomycota; Agaricomycetes; Agaricales.
AAUUCUCAACCUUUAUUAGCUUUUGCUGGUAAAUGGCUUGGAUGUGGGGGCUUGCUGGCUUUGGUCAGCUCCCCUUAAAUGCAUUAGCCGGUGCCCUGUGUGGACUGUCUAUUGGUGUGAUAAUUAUCUACGCCAUGGGAUGUCUGCAAUGGUUUUGCGCUGCUUCUAACCGUCUGUUCAUUCGGACAAUUUCAAUGACA